Molecule: ribosomal RNA, 253 nt
Filed under: uncultured bacterium
Lineage: Bacteria
Description: partial 16S ribosomal RNA
Rfam family: Bacterial small subunit ribosomal RNA
Source: RNAcentral
UACGUAGGGCGCAAGCGUUAUCCGGAAUUAUUGGGCGUAAAGAGCUCGUAGGCGGUUUGUCGCGUCUGCCGUGAAAGUCCGGGGCUCAACUCCGGAUCUGCGGUGGGUACGGGCAGACUAGAGUGAUGUAGGGGAGACUGGAAUUCCUGGUGUAGCGGUGAAAUGCGCAGAUAUCAGGAGGAACACCGAUGGCGAAGGCAGGUCUCUGGGCCACUACUGACGCUGAGACGCGAAAGCGUGGGGAGCAAACAGG